Molecule: long non-coding RNA, 557 nt
Organism: Eriocheir sinensis (Chinese mitten crab)
Lineage: Eukaryota; Metazoa; Arthropoda; Malacostraca; Decapoda; Varunidae
Exons: 3
Source: RefSeq, a predicted model, not a curated record
AAAUGUGUGUUUCUUUAGGUUCAUGGUACAGAAGAAGGGUCAGACUACCACCAGGGUCAUAAAACUACCCCUGGAAAUGCCCAAAACUCCUACGAAAGCCUUGGCAAAUGUGUGUUUCUUUAGGUUCAAGGUACAGAAGAAGGGUCAGACUACCACCAGGGUCAUAAAACUACCAAUGCAAAUCCCCACAACUCCCACGAAAGUCUUGUCAAUUGUGUGCUUGGCUGUGUACUGGCCAUUGCAUACUCUCUCCUAUUCUUUUAUUUCCUCAGUUUCGUGUCUCUUAAUAACAUAUAAAGAAAAAACACAAAAAAAUUAGGACAGCAGGAUAAAAUUUCGUCCUUCUUAUCAUUUUCUUCUAUCUUUUUUUUGUUUCUUAAGUCAAUAAAUUUUCCGCUGCAUAUUUUUUUUUCUCUCAAUUUCCAGCUUCUCAAUAAAUAUGUCAGGAGAGAAAACAAAAGAGAGACAGAACAGCAGAAGGGGAGUUUCGAGACCAACCUCUCAAUCCGGAAUCUCUCUCUCUCUCUCUCUCUCUCUCUCUCUCUCUCUCUCUCUCU